RNAcentral lists this ribosomal RNA (429 nucleotides) under uncultured bacterium. RNAcentral describes it as "bacterial SSU rRNA". It matches the Rfam family "Bacterial small subunit ribosomal RNA", at positions 355 to 776 of the family's 1533-position model. The record is from RNAcentral.
UGGGGAAUUUUGGACAAUGGGCGCAAGCCUGAUCCAGCAAUGCCGCGUGCAGGAAGAAGGCCUUCGGGUUGUAAACUGCUUUUGUCAGGGAAGAAAUCUUCUGGGCUAAUACCCCGGGAGGAUGACGGUACCUGAAGAAUAAGCACCGGCUAACUACGUGCCAGCAGCCGCGGUAAUACGUAGGGUGCGAGCGUUAAUCGGAAUUACUGGGCGUAAAGCGUGCGCAGGCGGUUAUGUAAGACAGAUGUGAAAUCCCCGGGCUCAACCUGGGAACUGCAUUUGUGACUGCAUGACUGGAGUGCGGCAGAGGGGGAUGGAAUUCCGCGUGUAGCAGUGAAAUGCGUAGAUAUGCGGAGGAACACCGAUGGCGAAGGCAAUCCCCUGGGCCUGCACUGACGCUCAUGCACGAAAGCGUGGGGAGCAAACAGG